RNAcentral lists this ribosomal RNA (1021 nucleotides) under Scortechinia conferta. RNAcentral's name for it is "SSU rRNA". It matches the Rfam family "Eukaryotic small subunit ribosomal RNA", at positions 84 to 1115 of the family's 1831-position model. Lineage: Eukaryota; Fungi; Ascomycota; Sordariomycetes; Coronophorales; Scortechiniaceae. The record is from RNAcentral.
AAACUGCGAAUGGCUCAUUAAAUCAGUUAUCGUUUAUUUGAUAGUACCUUACUACUUGGAUAACCGUGGUAAUUCUAGAGCUAAUACAUGCGAAAAACCCCGACUUCGGAAGGGGUGUAUUUAUUAGAUAAAAAACCAAUGCCCUUCGGGGCUCUCUGGUGAUUCAUAAUAACUAAACGAAUCGCAUGGCCUUGCGCCGGCGAUGGUUCAUUCAAAUUUCUGCCCUAUCAACUUUCGAUUGUAGAGUAGUGGUCUACAAUGGUUUCAACGGGUAACGGGGAAUUAGGGUUCGACUCCGGAGAGGGAGCCUGAGAAACGGCUACCACAUCCAAGGAAGGCAGCAGGCGCGCAAAUUACCCAAUCCCGACACGGGGAGGUAGUGACAAUAAAUACUGAUACAGGGCUCUUUUGGGUCUUGUAAUUGGAAUGAGUACAAUUUAAAUCCCUUAACGAGGAACAACUGGAGGGCAAGUCUGGUGCCAGCAGCCGCGGUAAUUCCAGCUCCAGAAGCGUAUAUUAAAGUUGUUGCAGUUAAAAAGCUCGUAGUUGAAUUUUGGGCCUGGCUGGCCGGUCCGCCUCACCGCGUGCACUGGUCCGGCCGGGCCUUUCCUCCUGGGGAUCCGCAUGCCCUUUACUGGGUGUGUUGGGGAACCAGGACUUUUACUUUGAAAAAAUUAGAGUGUUCAAAGCAGGCCUUUGCUCGAAUACAUUAGCAUGGAAUAAUAGAAUAGGACGGCUUUCCUAUUUUGUUGGUUUCUAGGGAAGCCGUAAUGAUUAAUAGGGAUAGUCGGGGGCAUCAGUAUUCAAUUGUCAGAGGUGAAAUUCUUGGAUUUAUUGAAGACUAACUACUGCGAAAGCAUUUGCCAAGGAUGUUUUCAUUAAUCAGUGAACGAAAGUUAGGGGAUCGAAGACGAUCAGAUACCGUCGUAGUCUUAACCAUAAACUAUGCCGACUAGGGAUCGGGCGAUGUUACUAUCUUGACUCGCUCGGCACCUUACGAGAAAUCAAAGUUUUUGGGUCU